This 234-nucleotide long non-coding RNA is filed under the name Phoenix dactylifera (date palm). RNAcentral's name for it is "long non-coding RNA (PDAC_LNC004703)". The record is from RNAcentral. Lineage: Eukaryota; Viridiplantae; Streptophyta; Magnoliopsida; Arecales; Arecaceae.
CAUCUGCCAGGGUGCUGCUUCCCACAUAUGCCACACACUGGCCAUGAUUGGAACUUAGAUUCAGUUCUGGCCAUAGUGACCGGAGGACGAGGUGCUAAUGGUAGAGAAGCAUCCGGUGACUGACCUCUUCUCCUCCACUUCCUCGUACGUGGGGCAGGUGGAGCUGAGCGUACAGACUGCUCCGUCGGGCCCUCCGGGAGACUUGCUCCCUCAGAUCUACCUCGGCUGCUUUGN